This is a long non-coding RNA of Polistes dominula (European paper wasp), 1083 nucleotides long. The record is from RefSeq and is a predicted model, not a curated record. NCBI's taxonomy places the organism in Eukaryota, Metazoa, Arthropoda, Insecta, Hymenoptera, Vespidae.
AGAGAGAGAGAAAAUAUGUCAUCGUAUUGUUUUCUUUUUCUUUUUCAAAACAAACAUAUCAAAUCAAAGAAAACCCAAUGUAUUCACCAUACAUGUAUACGUUUAUAUAUGUAUUUGCUAACUGUUAUUUACAUUUUCCUCGUAAAUAAAUAUAACCUUUUAAUCGAAUAGCGAAUUAAUGAAUACGCAUUUAUAAUUUAAUUGUAAAUAUACAACUAAAAAUGGUGUGUGUGCGCGCGCGCGUGAUCGUAAAAAUGCGCGUGACGCGAUAGAUAGGUUGGCACGCACCCAAAGAUAGCACACAAUUCAUUUUCAAAAUAUAGAUAGCCUACCAAAUAUCAUUCAUUUAGAAUAGAAGAGUAAAACAAAAAAAAAAAAAGCAUAAUAUUUACGAGUGCACAUAACAACGUAACGUCACAAGGCUGCGAUCGUUUAUCUCUCUCAUACGUUGUUAUUAUUUCAUGUCUAUUCGAUUAUUCUUUCGUCCAUCUCUCUCGCUCUUUCUUCUAUCUUCCUCAACCUUUCCCCGCAGCGCCCGUUCGAAUAGCUCUUUCAUUUGAAAACUUUGUGUUCCUUUCGCAUAUUUCUUUGCAUUCCUUUUGACAAUUCUUCAUAUUCUUCUUAGAUAUUAUCGUGAUAACAACAGUCGAAAGUAUUUCGACAUCGGUCAUAGACAAAAGUAUGAGCUUAGUUCGAUCAUCGGAUGGUGAUGGCAUUCGGCCAUGUUUUGUUCGAUAAAGGAUGGAAAACGAACUGGUAAGAGCAAGAAUGAACCAUUUUCGUGGAGGGAAUCUGUACAAGCAGUAAAACUAGUAAGUACAAGAUUUUUUUGAAAAAGUCAAAUUUGAAUAAUCAUUAUGAAUUGAUCUUUAAUCGAUUAUAUAAAAAAUGAAAAAAAAAAGGAAUUAAGCGUGGAUUUUUUUCGACGGGAAAAAAUGACAAGGUGUAUAAUAAAAAAAGUUGAUCAUACAUGUUGUGUGUAGGUACGGCCUUUUUACUUCACACAACCAGGAAUUUCUUUCGAACACAUAUUAUUUUCAACACAAAUCAAAUGAAUUUCAAUGGCAGCCAAUAGCACAAAGA